UCAGGAAUUUUGCGCAAUGGACGAAAGUCUGACGCAGCGACGCCGCGUGCAGGAUGACGGCCUUCGGGUUGUAAACUGCUGUGGUAGGGGAAUAUGAUGAAGGUACCCUACUAGAAAGCCACUGCUAACUACGUGCCAGCAGCCGCGGUAAUACGUAGGUGGCGAGCGUUAUCCGGAGUUACUGGGCGUAAAGAGUUGCGUAGGUGGUACGGUAAGUCUUUUGUGAAAUAUCCCGGCUCAACCGGGAAAACGCAGGGGAAACUGCCGAACUUGAAGCAGGGAGGGGAAAAUGGAACUCUCGGUGUAGGGGUGAAAUCCGUUGAUAUCGAGAGGAACACCAAAGGCGUAGGCAAUUUUCUGGCCCUUGCUUGACACUUAGGCACGAAAGCGUGGGGAGCGAAACGG
RNAcentral lists this ribosomal RNA (405 nucleotides) under uncultured bacterium. RNAcentral describes it as "bacterial SSU rRNA". It matches the Rfam family "Bacterial small subunit ribosomal RNA", at positions 355 to 776 of the family's 1533-position model. The record is from RNAcentral.